GACGAACGCUGGCGGCGUGCUUAACACAUGCAAGUCGAACGGGCUCUGUCUGGCUGUGUGCUGGGUGGGGUUAGUGGCGAACGGGUGAGUAUACGUGAGUAACCUGGCCUCUUCUUUUGGAUAAGCCUUGGGAACGGGGGCUAAUUCUUGAUAUUUCUGUCUGGUCGGAUGGCUGGGGGGGGGAAGGUUUUUUCGGGGGGGGAUGGGCUCGCGGCCUAUCAGCGUGUUGGUGGGGUGAUGGCCUACCAAGGCGUCGACGGGUAGCCGGCCUGAGAGGGUGACCGGCCACACUGGGACUGAGAUACGGCCCAGACUCCUACGGGAGGCAGCAGUGGGGGAUAUUGCACAAUGGGCGCAAGCCUGAUGCAGCGACGCCGCGUGGGGGAUGACGGCUUUCGGGUUGUAAACCUCUUUCGUCGGGGGACAAGGCUCUGCUUGGUGGUGGGGUUGAGGGUACCCGGUGAAGAAGCGCCGGCUAACUACGUG
This 486-nucleotide ribosomal RNA is filed under the name uncultured bacterium. RNAcentral's name for it is "partial 16S ribosomal RNA". It matches the Rfam family "Bacterial small subunit ribosomal RNA", at positions 28 to 507 of the family's 1533-position model. The record is from RNAcentral.